GUGAAAAAGUUUUGGCUGAAAAUGCAUAUUUAGUUCCUAUAUGAACCUAGAGAUGGCGCUUUCACUACUUUAUAAAAUGGCUUGAACUUUAUUAUGUUUCAGUGAAUUUCAAACAUUGGUCAUUAAAACAAAUAAUUAAACCAAUUUCUUCUGUAUGAUACUCGCUAUGAAAAGUGGGGAGACUUUAGACAUUCAAUAGUUACGAGGCGUUUAAAAUAAUCUCGAGGAAGAAGGAGGAGAAAGAAAAAGAAGGCGAAAAAGAAGAAGAAGACGACGAUGAUGUUGACGAAGACGAAGAAGAAGGAGAGGAAAACGAAGAAAAAAACCAACAGAUAGAAUCUGCGAAACAUCUGCACUGAUGAGGCCCAACGUAAUAACGAGCCACAGUGUACCAGUAGCGGCGACUAUGAGUCAUCGCAGGCAAAGAUAAAUAUUGUCAUGUUAUGAAGACUUGUGUGUUGGGUGGACAGGUAUUAAGCAAGGCAUAUCAGAGAGAGAAGAGGAAUAAUUGGUGCCAAUGUGCUAGGUCAUGAAGCUGGGAUUGGAGCAUGCUAACUUUUUGGACAGAAGACCCGGGACAGGAGAGGAGCCCAGGACAGGACAGGAGCACCAACUACCAUUUAUUGAGAAGCUGCAAACACUGUCACUCCUGAGUACUAGCACGUGCCAGCCCACUUAUGUACUAGGUUUUCGUCAAGCUGACAGAAGUUGUAAGUGUGUAAAUCAUUGAUGCUAGAACUGUUGUAUAAAUGCACAUUGUUAAAGUCAAGUUGUCUAGCUACCGUGUGUACAUCGUUACUCAAAUGCAAAGUCGUGUUUUUCAUUGAGUUCGGUUUUUAGACUUCAGCUAUUCAGUAAUCGAAAUAGUUUAACAGAUUUUUUAGUGACAAAUUCUGAACAUAUGUUA
This 907-nucleotide long non-coding RNA is filed under the name Priapulus caudatus. RNAcentral describes it as "uncharacterized LOC106820912". Lineage: Eukaryota; Metazoa; Priapulida; Priapulimorpha; Priapulimorphida; Priapulidae. The record is from RNAcentral.